UCAGGUGGCCGCAGAGAAUAGGCCCAAGCGACUGUUUACCAAAAACAUAGGUUUCUGCUAAGUCGCAAGACGAUGUAUAGGAGCUGACGCCUGCCCGGUGCUGGAAGGUUAAGGGGAUCUGUUAGAGCAAUCGAAGCAGUGAACUUAAGCCCCAGUAAACGGCGGCCGUAACUAUAACGGUCCUAAGGUAGCGAAAUUCCUUGUCGGGUAAGUUCCGACCCGCACGAAAGGCGUAACGAUUUGGGUACUGUCUCAACAACAGACUCGGUGAAAUUGUAAUUCCGGUGAAGAUGCCGGAUACCUGCGACAGGACGGAAAGACCCCAUGGAGCUUUACUGUAGCUUGACAUUGGGUCUUGGUACUACAUGUACAG
Molecule: ribosomal RNA, 373 nt
Filed under: Clostridioides difficile
Lineage: Bacteria; Bacillati; Bacillota; Clostridia; Peptostreptococcales; Peptostreptococcaceae
Description: bacterial LSU rRNA
Rfam family: Bacterial large subunit ribosomal RNA
Source: RNAcentral